RNAcentral lists this transfer RNA (359 nucleotides) under Microcystis sp. AICB 702. RNAcentral describes it as "16S-23S ribosomal RNA intergenic spacer". The stretch from base 135 to 208 matches the Rfam family "tRNA". Lineage: Bacteria; Bacillati; Cyanobacteriota; Cyanophyceae; Chroococcales; Microcystaceae. The record is from RNAcentral.
AAGGGAGACCUAAUUCAGGUAGGAGACGAAAAAAAAGUAGUCCCUACCAGGAAUCAAUCCCAAAAGGUCGGAGCGAGGCGAAAUUGGCUUUCAAACUAGGUUCUGGGUUCAAACAAGACCUGAAUCAGGAACAAGGGCUAUUAGCUCAGGUGGUUAGAGCGCACCCCUGAUAAGGGUGAGGUCCCUGGUUCGAGUCCAGGAUGGCCCACCUGCACAGGUGGCAAAAACAAGAGAAGCGAGGAAUCAGCACCUUAUCUUACUUAUAUAGUAAGAGAGAAUGCUGGCUCUGAGUAAAGAGUCCAGAGGAACCUUGAAAACUGCAUAGAGCUAGGUGAAAAAGCCAAAAAAGAAGACCGCAA